CCUACGGGAGGCAGCAGUGGGGAAUUUUGGACAAUGGGCGCAAGCCUGAUCCAGCAAUGCCGCGUGCAGGAUGAAGGCCUUCGGGUUGUAAACUGCUUUUGUACGGAACGAAACGGUGAGCUCUAAUACAGUUUGCUAAUGACGGUACCGUAAGAAUAAGCACCGGCUAACUACGUGCCAGCAGCCGCGGUAAUACGUAGGGUGCGAGCGUUAAUCGGAAUUACUGGGCGUAAAGCGUGCGCAGGCGGUGAUGUAAGACAGAUGUGAAAUGCCCGGGCUCAACCUGGGACCUGCAUUUGUGACUGCAUCGCUAGAGUACGGUAGAGGGGGAUGGAAUUCCGCGUGUAGCAGUGAAAUGCGUAGAUAUGCGGAGGAACACCGAUGGCGAAGGCAAUCCCCUGGACCUGUACUGACGCUCAUGCACGAAAGCUGGGGAGCAAACAGGAUUAGAUACCCUGGUAGUCCCACGACCUAACGAUGUCACUGUUGUUGGUUCGUUCU
RNAcentral lists this ribosomal RNA (501 nucleotides) under uncultured bacterium. RNAcentral describes it as "bacterial SSU rRNA". It matches the Rfam family "Bacterial small subunit ribosomal RNA", at positions 338 to 834 of the family's 1533-position model. The record is from RNAcentral.